CGAACGGGUGAGUAACGCGUGAGGAACCUGCCUCAAAGAGGGGGACAACAGUUGGAAACGACUGCUAAUACCGCAUAAGCCCACGGCUCGGCAUCGAGCAGAGGGAAAAGGAGUGAUCCGCUUUGAGAUGGCCUCGCGUCCGAUUAGCUGGUUGGUGGGGUAACGGCCCACCAAGGCGACGAUCGGUAGCCGGACUGAGAGGUUGAACGGCCACAUUGGGACUGAGACACGGCCCAG
This 237-nucleotide ribosomal RNA is filed under the name uncultured bacterium. RNAcentral describes it as "partial 16S ribosomal RNA". It matches the Rfam family "Bacterial small subunit ribosomal RNA", at positions 99 to 334 of the family's 1533-position model. The record is from RNAcentral.